Molecule: long non-coding RNA, 1836 nt
Organism: Heterocephalus glaber (naked mole-rat)
Lineage: Eukaryota; Metazoa; Chordata; Mammalia; Rodentia; Bathyergidae
Source: Ensembl
GGGGAAGCUGAGUCAGGCAGGCAUAGGGGUCCAUCAGGGAUGCCCCUCCUCCUCCAGCCUGAGGUGGGGUCCGGCCAUCACUGCAGCUUUAGGGCAGUGGGGCCACCCACUUACAGAGCUGACCACAGAGGCCCUUCCAACCUGCCCCACAGCUCCAGUUCCACCUCUGCUUUCUACACCUGCCCAUCGCCCCAGGCCUGUCCGCAGAGUCCCUGACCCCCAUGACACUGCCCACUGACCUAGGUGAUCCAGAGUGGAGGAGUCUAGAGUCAUGACUGGGCAGCAGGCGCCUCUCACCUGUUACCCUUUCCCUGGGGCCCUGGUUCCUGGCCCUGUGUGCCUGGUCCCAUGGUUCUGCUCUUGCCCCACCCACAGUGCUAUGCGGCUCCCCGGGAAGCCCUACUUUGCAUCUGCAGGGGUCACCCGGCCUCACUUCCGGAAACUACUUAAAGGGCUCUCCCCGGAGGUCCCCCUGGGCAUAACGGGUGGCAUGACCCCACAUCCCCAGUGAGGGCUGUGGCGUCGGGCCAGAGGCAGGGAUCCAGGUUCGAAUCCUGUCCUUCUGUUCAGCCGUGUCUACUCUAGACCUUUGGCCUAAGUUGUCUCUCCCGGGAAAUGGGAACUCGGGGGCCUACCUGGGAAGAGGCAGGGCGCGUUUGCGCCCGCGGUGCCCGCCGAUCCUGACCCGCCCCUGACCUGUCCUCGCGAUGGCUGCCCACAUCCUACUGCUGAUGCUCCUCUCUGCCUCCGCCCUGGGGGGGCCCGGACUCUGCUGACAGGCGGCCCCGGACCCAGGUUCCUCAGCGCCUCGGCCGCAGCUGCUCGCUAGGCACCUGCCUGACGCACCGCUUGCCGCACCGCCUAUCCUGGGCGCGUGCCCUCCCCGCCAAGGAGCCCUCGGGGAAGGCCGCCCGGGAGCCCCAGGACCCCCUUAGCUACGGGCGUCGCCGGCGGCUUGAGGCCCCCACCCUGCCCUGCCUGGGCCUCGGAAUCCCUAGCCAUGCGCCCGGCGCCAACCCGGGCUUCCCCACCCCUUCCUUUGCUCCGUGAAACCGGCUCCCCAUCCUCUCCCCAAUGUCCUGGGCCGGACAGAAUGCUGAGGUCCGGAGCCGAAUAAAACAAGAGUCCCCGUUGUGUCUGUCUGCGCCCGGUGUCCGCCGGCCACCUGGCCCGGUCCCGACCCACUUUUCCCCUUAUCCAUGCUCCUGGCGCUCUCGGAAGUCCCUCCCCCCGUCUGACUGGCGUUCCAUCCCCCAGCGCCUCCUCCCGGUCAGCUCGCCCUGCGCCUUUCACGGUGGGCACGAGGCGCCUGACCCCAUGCGCUCCUCCCUCCUGGGCCGGAAAGGUCUGGGGAGGCCGCCGCAUGCGUGACCUCGCUGUCCCCACGCUGGACCGCGUCCCCAGCCAAGCCUCGGCCCUCGGAAAGAAAGUAGGAUCCCCGCUUGCUCCUACUUGGGGAGCGUGUGGCGUAAGGCCGCGGGGUUCAGUGGAACGAAGGGCGCCGAAUGGGGGUGCAUUGACCGGUGGAAAGGGGGGCUCGAAUGGAGGUAGAGGAUUGGAUGCUGUGUAUCAAAGGGGCGGGGACAGAGGCCACGCUGCAAUAAAGCCGAGGACCGGGUUAGGCACAAACACGACAGAAAUCCGGGUGUCUGUCGGAUGGUCCUGUGGUGGGCAGAACUCCGGGGGCCGGUCGGCCAGGUGGUGGAGUCGUCCUACUGGGCUUGGACAUACGCAAGCGAAAGACUUAGGUCCUGGGCUCAAAACCGGGGAGUAGGGGGGUGUGGGGUGUACGUCGCUUCGUUCCCAGCAUCUCAUCUGCACAAGCCUGACCUAGAG